GGCUGCGUGGCAGAGGGGUUAUGCAGCGGCCUGCAAAGCCGUGGACGCCGGUUCAAAUCCGACCGCAGCCUCCA
This 74-nucleotide transfer RNA is filed under the name Crenotrichaceae bacterium. RNAcentral's name for it is "tRNA-Cys". It matches the Rfam family "tRNA". From Rfam's summary of the family: Transfer RNA (tRNA) molecules are approximately 80 nucleotides in length. Their secondary structure includes four short double-helical elements and three loops (D, anti-codon, and T loops). The record is from RNAcentral. Lineage: Bacteria; Pseudomonadati; Pseudomonadota; Gammaproteobacteria; Methylococcales; Crenotrichaceae.